Molecule: ribosomal RNA, 468 nt
Filed under: uncultured bacterium
Lineage: Bacteria
Description: partial 16S ribosomal RNA
Rfam family: Bacterial small subunit ribosomal RNA
Source: RNAcentral
GACGAACGCUGGCGGCGUGCUUAACACAUGCAAGUCGAACGGAAAGGCCCUGCUUUUGUGGGGUGCUCGAGUGGCGAACGGGUGAGUAACACGUGAGUAACCUGCCCUUGACUUUGGGAUAACUUCAGGAAACUGGGGCUAAUACCGGAUAGGAGCUCCUGCUGCAUGGUGGGGGUUGGAAAGUUUCGGCGGUUGGGGAUGGACUCGCGGCUUAUCAGCUUGUUGGUGGGGUAGUGGCUUACCAAGGCUUUGAUGGGUAGCCGGCCUGAGAGGGUGACCGGCCACAAUGGGACUGAGAUACGGCCCAGACUCCUACGGGGGGCAGCAGUGGGGAAUAUUGCACAAUGGGCGGAAGCCUAAUGCAGCAACGCGGCGUGCGGGAUGACGGCCUUCGGGUUGUAAACCGCUUUCGCCUGUGACGAAGCGUGAGUGACGGUAAUGGGUAAAGAAGCACCGGCUAACUACGUG